AUCACCGUGUAGAGAACUUGCAGACUUCUCUUAUGCAGAAUAGAAUGCAUGAACUACUUGGGAGAUAGAUUGUGAAGAGCAAAGUUUGGCCAUUAACUUGGGAUCCACCAACCAACAAAGACUCCUUCAGGCUUCAUUCUUCAGCCAUUGGUCCUCAAGGGUGGAAAACUACAUCUUGAGGAGUUUAGUUACAUAUCUGAUAGGUUGCAGUGCUCCAGCUAGAACUCAGGAAAGACGAGAAGGUACAAGAAAAUGUUGAUGAAGAAUUGACUGUGAUAGCCGUGGAACACACCUUGUUUAAUUUUAGUCCUCACAAUAAUCUUAUGUCGUUGGCAGAUCCCUAUUUUUAUUCCUCCACAGCUUUAUUGAGAAAUAAUUGGCAAACAAAAUUGUAGAAGUUUAAGGUGUACGAUCCAUGAUUUGAUAUACAUAUAUAUUAUGAAAUGACUACCACAAUCAAGUUAGUCAACAUAUCUAUCACCUCACCUACUUACCUUUUUUUUUUUUUUGGUUUUGUUUUGUGGUGAGAACAUUUAAGAUCUGUCAGCAAAUUUCAGCUAUACAAAUUGCACGCAUUAAGUACAUUUACAAUGUUGUACAUCCGUUACUACUAUCCAUUUCCAGAACUUUUUCAUCAUCCCAAACAGAAGCUCUAUGCCCAUUAAAUAAUAACUCCUCAUUCUCCUUCCCAACUGCCCCUGGUAAUUUCUAUUCUACUUUCA
RNAcentral lists this long non-coding RNA (722 nucleotides) under Homo sapiens (human). RNAcentral describes it as "HSALNT0246801". Lineage: Eukaryota; Metazoa; Chordata; Mammalia; Primates; Hominidae. The record is from RNAcentral.